Molecule: ribosomal RNA, 253 nt
Filed under: uncultured bacterium
Lineage: Bacteria
Description: partial 16S ribosomal RNA
Rfam family: Bacterial small subunit ribosomal RNA
Source: RNAcentral
UACGGAAGGGGCAAGCGUUGUUCGGAAUCAUUGGGCGUAAAGGGCGCGUAGGUGGUCCUGUAUGUCUACUGUGAAAGCGUACGGCUCAACCGUAUUUUGUCGGUAGAAACUGCAGGGCUUGAGGCUGGGAGGGGCUGGUGGAAUUCCCUGUGUAGCGGUGAAAUGCGUAGAUAUCUGGAGGAACACCGGUGGCGAAGGCGGCAUCCUGGACCGGCAUUGACGCUGAGGCGCGAAAGCCAGGGGAGCAAACGGG